GGCCAAAGGAAGUCGUACAAUAAUAUCCGAGAAACCCUCCGGCAGAUUCUGAUGAGAUAAGACACUGCUAUGAUUUCAUUACAUGACUAUCCUUUACAAAGGAAAUCAAAAGGUUUGUAAUGCACUCAAGAAGGACGAUAGACCGAAAGAGACACACGAGAUUCGCUGUCCAAAGCUAAGAGCAUAAAAUAUGAAUGGCUUGAAAAUUCUUGCCCAUAGCUAAGGUAAGAUGCCUAUGUCAACUAUGAGUCUAUAACAAAUGGAGCUUAUAGACAAGUCUUCCAAAACAUAUAGGCACAGAGCGAAAGGAUUUCAACCCUGAACGUGAAUUGUUUUCAUAUCAGAUGAGUCUUCGCUUUCCAUGCUUUUCAGAUUCCUGUGUUCACUCAUAUUUUUUAUUGGUGAAAGUUCUUAUUCCAGUUGACAA
Neltuma alba is the source of this 427-nucleotide long non-coding RNA. RefSeq lists it as uncharacterized. The record is from RefSeq and is a predicted model, not a curated record. Lineage: Eukaryota; Viridiplantae; Streptophyta; Magnoliopsida; Fabales; Fabaceae. The transcript is spliced from 2 exons.